This 443-nucleotide ribosomal RNA is filed under the name uncultured bacterium. RNAcentral's name for it is "bacterial SSU rRNA". It matches the Rfam family "Bacterial small subunit ribosomal RNA", at positions 355 to 811 of the family's 1533-position model. The record is from RNAcentral.
UGGGGAAUCUUGGACAAUGGGCGCAAGCCUGAUCCAGCCAUGCCGCGUGAGCGAUGAAGGCCUUAGGGUUGUAAAGCUCUUUCACCGGUGAAGAUAAUGACGGUAGCCGGAGAAGAAGCCCCGGCUAACUCCGUGCCAGCAGCCGCGGUAAUACGGAGGGGGUUAGCGUUGUUCGGAAUUACUGGGCGUAAAGCGCACGUAGGCGGACCAGAAAGUUGGGGGUGAAAUCCCGGGGGCUCAACCCCGGAACUGCCUCCAAAACUAUUGGUCUAGAGUUCGAGAGAGGUGAGUGGAAUUCCAAGUGUAGAGGUGAAAUUCGUAGAUAUUUGGAGGAACACCAGUGGCGAAGGCGGCUCACUGGCUCGAUACUGACGCUGAGGUGCGAAAGCGUGGGGAGCAAAGCAGGAUUAGAUAGCCCUGGUAGUCCACGCCGUAAAACGAUG